GGCGGCAUGGCCAAGUGGUAAGGCAGGGGACUGCAAAUCCUUUAUCCCCAGUUCAAAUCUAGGUGUCGCCU
This 71-nucleotide transfer RNA is filed under the name Triticum aestivum (bread wheat). It matches the Rfam family "tRNA". From Rfam's summary of the family: Transfer RNA (tRNA) molecules are approximately 80 nucleotides in length. Lineage: Eukaryota; Viridiplantae; Streptophyta; Magnoliopsida; Poales; Poaceae. The record is from Rfam by way of RNAcentral.